CAGCAGCCACGGUAAUACGAAGGGUGCAGGCGUUAAUCGGAAUUACUGGGCGUAAAGCGUGCGUAGGCGGUGAGUUAAGUCUGCUGUGAAAUCCCCGGGCUCGACCUGGGAAUGGCAGUGGAUACUGGCUCGCUAGAGUGUGUCAGAGGAUGGUGGAAUUCCCGGUGUAGCGGUGAAAUGCGUAGAGAUCGGGAGGAACAUCAGUGGCGAAGGCGGCCAUCUGGGACAACACUGACGCUGAGGCACGAAAGCGUGGGGAGCAAACAGGAUUAGAUACCCUCGUAGUCCCUGUCUCUUAUAC
This 301-nucleotide ribosomal RNA is filed under the name uncultured bacterium. RNAcentral's name for it is "partial 16S ribosomal RNA". It matches the Rfam family "Bacterial small subunit ribosomal RNA", at positions 509 to 807 of the family's 1533-position model. The record is from RNAcentral.